GGGGGUGUAGCUCAGUCUGGCAGAGCAUCUGGUUUGCAACCAGAAGGUCGUCGGUUCGAAUCCGAUCGCCUCCA
Molecule: transfer RNA, 74 nt
Filed under: bacterium
Lineage: Bacteria
Description: tRNA-Ala
Rfam family: tRNA
About the family: Transfer RNA (tRNA) molecules are approximately 80 nucleotides in length. Their secondary structure includes four short double-helical elements and three loops (D, anti-codon, and T loops).
Source: RNAcentral